AGUAGUUUGAUCAGUGGCUCGAGGACGAACGCUGGCGGCGUGCCUAACACAUGCAAGUCGAACGAGAAAUAAUGAUUUGAUUCCUUCGGGAUGAAAAGAAUUAUGGACAGUGGCGGACGGGCGAGUAACGCGUGAGUAACCUGCCCAUAAGAGAGGGAUAGCCGAUGGAAACGUCGAGUAAUACCGCAUAUUGUAAUAUAAUCGCAUGGUUAAAUUAUGAAAGAUUUAUCGCUUAUGGAUGGACUCGCGUCUGAUUAGAUAGUUGGUGAGGUAACGGCUCACCAAGUCGACGAUCAGUAGCCGAACUGAGAGGUUGAUCGGCCGCAUUGGGACUGAGACACGGCCCAGACUCC
Molecule: ribosomal RNA, 353 nt
Filed under: uncultured Oscillospiraceae bacterium
Lineage: Bacteria; Bacillati; Bacillota; Clostridia; Eubacteriales; Oscillospiraceae
Description: bacterial SSU rRNA
Rfam family: Bacterial small subunit ribosomal RNA
Source: RNAcentral